Molecule: ribosomal RNA, 198 nt
Filed under: uncultured bacterium
Lineage: Bacteria
Description: partial 16S ribosomal RNA
Rfam family: Bacterial small subunit ribosomal RNA
Source: RNAcentral
AGUCUGAAACUCGAGUGCAUGAAGCUGGAAUCGCUAGUAAUCGCAAAUCAGAAUGUUGCGGUGAAUACGUUCCCGGGUCUUGUACACACCGCCCGUCACACCAUGGAGUUGGAAAUGCCCGAAGUCAGUGACCCAACCAAAAGGAGGGAGCUGCCGAAGGCAGGUUCGAUGACUGGGGUGAAGUCGUAACAAGGUACC